GACGAACGCUGGCGGCGUGCCUAAUACAUGCAAGUCGAGCGAAGUUUUUCUGGUGCUUGCACUAGAAAAACUUAGCGGAGAACGGGUGAGUAAAACGUAAAGAACCUGCCUCAGAAACUGGGACAACUAUUGGAAACGAUAGCUAAUACUGGAUAACAGUAUUUAUCGCAUGCGAGAUAUUUAAAAGUUGGUAAUGCUAACACUAUGAGAUGGCUUUGCGGUGCAUUAGCUAGUUGGUGGGGGAAAGGCCCACCAAGGCGACGAUGCAUAGCCGACCUGAGAGGGUGAUCGGCCACACUGGGACUGAGACACGGCCCAGACUCCUACGGGAGGCAGCAGUAGGGAAUCUUCCGCAAUGGGCGAAAGCCUGACGGAGCAACGCCGCGUGAGUUAAGAAGGAUUUCGGUUCGUAAAGCGCUGUUGUUAGGGAAGAAUGGAUAUGUAGUAACUAUACAUGUAAGAGACGGUACCUAACCAGAAAGCCACGGCUAACUACGUG
Molecule: ribosomal RNA, 499 nt
Filed under: uncultured bacterium
Lineage: Bacteria
Description: partial 16S ribosomal RNA
Rfam family: Bacterial small subunit ribosomal RNA
Source: RNAcentral